AAAUCUUAGAAAUUUCACUUUUUCCUCCAAGCUUGCGUAUUCUCUUUCUCCAGUAUCUUGCUUCCAUCGGCGAUCGAGGUUCUUUCGUCUUAUUUUAGUUGCUUCUCCGGCGAUCGGAGUUUGUCAUGGAGCGGACUUCGGAGACUCCGGGCGAUGAUGGGUUGUAUCAUGGUUGGAAGAAUGAUAAAUUUAUUUUCGAAUCGCCUGUUUUGUCCGGUACCCCUGUCAAGGCACUAAAAGUCGACCGGACCGGACUUGCUGCCGCCUGUGGUAGUGCUCCGCCAGUACGCCGUGUAGAACUCCUCUAGCAGAUGUUUCUAAUAAGCCUUUAUUUGGUGGUAGGCAG
Molecule: long non-coding RNA, 346 nt
Organism: Daucus carota subsp. sativus
Lineage: Eukaryota; Viridiplantae; Streptophyta; Magnoliopsida; Apiales; Apiaceae
Exons: 3
Source: RefSeq, a predicted model, not a curated record